This 789-nucleotide non-coding RNA is filed under the name Oestrus ovis (sheep bot fly). Lineage: Eukaryota; Metazoa; Arthropoda; Insecta; Diptera; Oestridae. The record is from RNAcentral.
UAUUUAAAGUUUUAUUUUAGCUUAAAAAUUUAUUAUUAAUUUAAUUUAUAUGUAAAUUUUUGUGAGAGUUUUUAUUUAUUUUAAAAAUAAAUAUAAAUUUAUUUAUUCGCAGUAAUUAAUUUUAUUAAUUAAGUAAAUUUAGAUAUAGUAAUAUUAGUGAGUAUUGACAAAAUUUGUGCCAGCAGUCGCGGUUAUACAAAUAAUGCAAAUAAAUUAUUUUAGUUAAAGUUAAUUAUUUAUGAUAUAAAAUUUUAAUAAAUUUAUUAGGUGAAAUUUUGAAUUUAUUUAGGUUUAGUAUAAAAAAUUUGAAGCUUAGAAAUUUUAUUUAUAAACUAGGAUUAGAUACCCUAUUAUUUAAAAUGUAGUAGAUAAACUUAGGUAGUAAUAGUUAUGAUCUUGAAACUUAAAAAAUUUGGCGGUAUUUUAGUCUAUUCAGAGGAACCUGUUCUAUAAUCGAUAGUCCACGAUGGACCUUACUUAAAUUGGUAAUCAGCUUAUAUACCGUCGUUAUUAGAAUAUUUUAUAAGAAGAGUAAUGUUCAUAAUAUUUAGUAGAUAAAAUAUCAGAUCAAGGUGUAGUUAAUGUUUAAGUAGAAAUGGGUUACAAUAAAGUUAUUUAUAUGGAUAUAGAUUUGAAAUAGAGCUAUUGAAGGUGGAUUUGGUAGUAAAUUUAUAGAGAUUAAUUUUUUGAUUUUUUAGCUCUAAAAUAUGUACACAUCGCCCGUCGCUCUUAUUAUAAAGUAAGAUAAGUCGUAACAUAGUAGAUGUACUGGAAAGUGUAUCUAGAAUG